CCUAACUGGCAAGCAGAACAACGCAUGCUAGACCAGCUCCUGAGCAAAGCUUGCAAAAUACACUUAUUAUACCUGCUACCUGCAGUUUUCCACUGCACAACAUGACUUCAUGCAUUGUGGGGAUCCUGAGGAAUCAGUUGGUACCAGACUCGGUGCUUCCCUGACCCAGGUUACUUACCCUACACUUUUUGCGGCCUACAAACCUGACAGGCAUAAAAAAUACAAUCUAUAAUGAAGGAAAUAGCUUAAAUAGCAUUAUAGAAAGUAUGAUGGGACGUGGGUAACUUGUUGUUACACUCACAAGAAAUAAGCUUGUAGCAGGCAUUUCAUUGUAGCAAUAAUUUUAAAUAUUCCAUCUGAACUCUGCAUGUAUUUUAUAAUAUUUAUAUAUGUAAUUUUCUAUAUAUUUAAUAAGAACAGUAAUUAGUUUCUUUUUGGUUUUCCUUUUUCCCCAUUCUAUAUAUAUUGUUUUAUGUGAAAAGAUAUCUUUAUGGGACUGGUGUAUUUACAGACAUUCAGCUUCUGGAGCGCAAGGGCGACCAAGGCGCAACCGGAAGACGUCACAAACAUCCAACACUGACUGAGGCUUGGGACGCAAGACUGCUAGAGAAUGCGCACAUAGGACUUUUAAAAAGAAUCCCGACGGAGACCAGCAACAUCACUAUCAGAUUCUCCUGAGGAAGUCCAUUUAUGGACGAAACGCGAAGGGCUGGGAUAACCAUAUAAUGACUAUAAUUUGUAUCUUGUAUUCAUUUUUAUUUUAAAUACAUUUUAUUUUGAUUUGUGUGGAUUGCAAGCUGCUAUCUGGUUACCGACUUCAGAACACCAUACCCUGGGUCUGGAUACACAUAUCAUGAUAUGCAAGCCUAAAGAAUCCAUUCUGUGAGUGCAAUUUGUAAUAAAAGGUGUUUUACUUUUUAAAGUGGUACACUAUGUUUGCUUUUCUCCCUCUUUUUCCUAUAUUGUCAAUGGAUUAAAAGAAAAGGACAGAAGGUUAACGUCCUAUAAAGAUACCUUUACGUUCCUGCUACAAGCUUAUUUCUUGUGAGUGUAACAAGUUACCCACGUCCCAUCAU
Molecule: non-coding RNA, 1076 nt
Organism: Pelobates cultripes (western spadefoot toad)
Lineage: Eukaryota; Metazoa; Chordata; Amphibia; Anura; Pelobatidae
Source: the annotation of a GenBank genome assembly